UACGAAGGGUGCAAGCGUUACUCGGAAUUACUGGGCGUAAAGCGUGCGUAGGUGGUUCGUUAAGUCUGAUGUGAAAGCCCUGGGCUCAACCUGGGAAUGGCAUUGGAAACUGGCGACCUAGAGUGCGGUAGAGGGCAGUGGAAUUCCCGGUGUAGCAGUGAAAUGCGUAGAGAUCGGGAGGAACAUCUGUGGCGAAGGCGACUGCCCGGACCAGCACUGACACUGAGGCACGAAAGCGUGGGGAGCAAACAGG
RNAcentral lists this ribosomal RNA (253 nucleotides) under uncultured bacterium. RNAcentral describes it as "partial 16S ribosomal RNA". It matches the Rfam family "Bacterial small subunit ribosomal RNA", at positions 524 to 776 of the family's 1533-position model. The record is from RNAcentral.